This 315-nucleotide ribosomal RNA is filed under the name uncultured eukaryote. RNAcentral describes it as "partial 18S ribosomal RNA". It matches the Rfam family "Eukaryotic small subunit ribosomal RNA", at positions 1470 to 1796 of the family's 1831-position model. The record is from RNAcentral.
CCCUUAGACGUUCUGGGCCGCACGCGCGCUACACUGACCAGUGCAACAAGCAUCCGUCCUUGGCCGACAGGCUCGGGCAAUCUUUGAACGCUGGUCGUGAUGGGGAUAGACUUUUGCAAUUUUUGGUCUUCAACGAGGAAUUCCUAGUAAACGCAAGUCAUCAACUUGCAUUGAUUACGUCCCUGCCCUUUGUACACACCGCCCGUCGCGCCUACCGAUUGAAUGGUCCGGUGAAGCCUCCGGAUUGGCGCGCACCUCGGUGCCGCCGAGAAGUUGGCUAAACCUUACCAUUUAGAGGAAGGUGAAGUCGUANCA